This is a long non-coding RNA of Xyrauchen texanus (razorback sucker), 354 nucleotides long. RefSeq lists it as uncharacterized. NCBI's taxonomy places the organism in Eukaryota, Metazoa, Chordata, Actinopteri, Cypriniformes, Catostomidae. The record is from RefSeq and is a predicted model, not a curated record. The transcript is spliced from 3 exons.
AGGUUCUGAAACGGCACUCUGGCAGACAAGAAAGACGGUAUUUGCCGAACAUCCUAAAAAUACCUCCGAUGGAUGAUGUGGUCUGAAGAAGAGUCAGUGUAGAUUGACGAAUCCACAAUGACACAGAUAAUUACGCGGUUGCUCUCCAGUGUGUCGGUACCAGAGGAGGAGAUGGGAUGCAGACCUCCGUUAUCGUUGAGCCUCUUGGCACGGAAUACCCAUAAAAAGCAGCCAUGUGACAUGCCUGCUGUGCAGCAAUAGGCCAGAAUGAGACCUCAUCAUCUCAGCUGUACUGAACAAACUGAACGCACAGCCUUUUUUCAGCCUAAUAGCAUGGCAAAGCUUUACACUGAC